GACGAACGCUGGCGGCGUGCUUAACACAUGCAAGUCGAACGGUGAAGCGAGUUCUUGCACUCGUGGAUCAGUGGCGAACGGGUGAGUAACACGUGAGUAACCUGCCCAUCACUCUGGGAUAAGCACUGGAAACGGUGUCUAAUACUGGAUACGACCAACCCUUGCAUGGGGUGUUGGUGGAAAGAUUUAUCGGUGAUGGAUGGACUCGCGGCCUAUCAGCUUGUUGGCGGGGUAAUGGCCCACCAAGGCGACGACGGGUAGCCGGCCUGAGAGGGUGACCGGCCACACUGGGACUGAGACACGGCCCAGACUCCUACGGGAGGCAGCAGUGGGGAAUAUUGCACAAUGGGCGAAAGCCUGAUGCAGCGACGCCGCGUGAGGGAUGACGGCCUUCGGGUUGUAAACCUCUUUCAGCAGGGAAGAAGCGAAAGUGACGGUACCUGCAGAAGAAGCACCGGCUAACUACGUG
Molecule: ribosomal RNA, 469 nt
Filed under: uncultured bacterium
Lineage: Bacteria
Description: partial 16S ribosomal RNA
Rfam family: Bacterial small subunit ribosomal RNA
Source: RNAcentral